Molecule: ribosomal RNA, 399 nt
Filed under: uncultured Acidobacteriota bacterium
Lineage: Bacteria; Pseudomonadati; Acidobacteriota
Description: bacterial SSU rRNA
Rfam family: Bacterial small subunit ribosomal RNA
Source: RNAcentral
AGAGUUUGAUCCUGGCUCAGAAUCAACGCUGGCGGCGUGCCUAACACAUGCAAGUCGAACGAGAAAGUGGAGCAAUCCAUGAGUAAAGUGGCGACCGGGUGAGUAACACGUGACUAACCUACCUCCGAAUGGGGAAUAACUCCGGGAAACCGGGGCUAAUACCGCAUAACACCGCAAGGUCAAAGCAGCAAUGCGUUUGGAGAGGGGGUCGCGGCUGAUUAGCUAGUUGGCGGGGUAACGGCCCACCAAGGCGAAGAUCGGUAUCCGGCCUGAGAGGGCGCACGGACACACUGGAACUGAAACACGGUCCAGACUCCUACGGGAGGCAGCAGUGGGGAAUUUUGCGCAAUGGGGGAAACCCUGACGCAGCAACGCCGCGUGGAGGAUGAAGCCCUUUGG